AUGACAGAGGAGGAGAAACUCCUAAUCCGAACUUUCAAUGCUGUGAAGCUACCAACAAGACAAAUAAUAGCAAUCCUAAGUUACUUGAGAGGCGGGAACACUCCUUACACCAAAAAGCAUGUAAGCAAUGUUAGAACAGCCAUUGGCAAAGAGAGCAAUCAAAAUGACAUGAUGCAGGUGCUAACAUAUUUCAGGAAGAGACAAGCUGAAGAUCCACAAUUUUACUAUGCGUUCAAAACAACUAAAGUCUCUGAUGACGCAAGUAAAGUUUUGUGCAUUUUCUGGGCUGACGGGUAUUCUAGGAAAAUGUACGAGCUAUACGGAGACUGCCUCAGCUUCGACACAACAUUCAAGACAAACAGAUACAACCUCCCAUUUGCUCCCUUUGUUGGUGUCACAGGACAUGGCCAGAACUGUUUGUUUGCUUGCUCUAUCAUAGAGAAUGAAACAGCUGACACCUUUCAAUGGUUGUUUGAGACAUUCUUGCAUUGCAUGGGUGGGAAAUCUCCGUCCACAAUCAUAACAGACGAGGAUGCUGGGAUGAAGACAGCUAUCCCUUUAGUUUUCCCGCAUAUCUGCCACAGGCGUUGUUUGUUUCAUAUUAAAAAGAAGGCUGAGGAAAAAUGUACUAGGACUUUUGCAGCAAAUAAAACACUGCAUGAUGAUUUCAGUGACAUCAUUCACAACUCUCUGACGGUGGCUGAGUUUGAGCAAUUGUGGACAGAGAUGAUCCAGAGAUACAACAUUGGGCAUGUGAAGUAUUUCCAAAUCAUGUGGAAGAAAAGGAAAAGGUUUGUCCCUGUGUAUUUCAAGACGGACUUCUUCCCCUUCAUUCACUCUACUGCGCGUAGUGAAGGCACCAACGCCAUUUUCAAGGACAACAUCACGUCAACUCACAAUGUGAUCAGCUUCCUCCAAGAGUACCAGAAGAUUUCAGAAACCAUACAAGAUAAGGAGAGGGAGCAAGACUCUAUCACAAGAACAACUUCGCCGACAUUCUGGGCACGAAGUGAGCUUGAGAUACAAGCUGCAAAAAUGUACAACAGAAAGAUAUUUUACAGAUUCCAAAAGCAGAUAAAGUUUGUGCUGAAUUUGCAUGUUGAAGAGGUUGAGAGAAAUGUGAAAUAUGAAGUCUACAAGACACCAAUGCUAGCUGAAAAGGAUUUCAGAACGCGAAGAUUUGUUGUGAUUGUGAACUUGCAGCAACAGUUGUUCAGUUGUAUCUGUGGGAAAUUUCAGAAAGAUGGCAUUGUGUGUUGCCAUGUCUUGAGAGUCCUUUCUCAUCUCAACAUGUCUGUGCUGCCAGAAAAAUAUUACAUAGACAGGUGGAGGCCAAAAAAUACAAAGGACAUACGGGACAUCCGUUUCAAUGUUCCUUUGGAACUAACUGCUGGAAGUCAACACUUAAGGUAUACCCUUCUAUCCAACAGGCUCAAUGAGAUGGCCUCGGAUGGUGCAUCAACAAACAGAAAAUAUCUGUAUGUUGUAGCAGAAUGUGAAAGGGUGCAACAAAGGUUGGAUGAGAUGACUAAAGAGGAUGAACUUGCAGAAGCGCAACAAGCAAAUGUUGACAAGGACACAACAGAGACUGAUGCAGCACCGCAUCCUGAUGGUUAUGGAGACACACUUCAAGAUCCUGAUGUUGCAGUGUCAAAAGGGCGUCCACAAAAAGGACGUUACAAAACUUUCAUGGAAAGUUUGGUAUCUAAACAGAAAGUCACAUGCAGUCAGUGUGGGAAGCCUGAUCAUUAUAAAAGUUCUUGUACUGCAAGUACUGAAGAUGUCAAUUUGGCUCAGAGAGAGAAAGUCAGUCGCAAACAAACCUCAGCCUCAUCUGGGACAUCUACGGGCAAGCAACCAGCUGGUGCAAACCCGAGGAGGAAGGCAAGAAAAGAAAAAUGA
RNAcentral lists this ribosomal RNA (1902 nucleotides) under Triticum aestivum (bread wheat). Its description in RNAcentral is "partial small subunit ribosomal RNA". The record is from RNAcentral. Lineage: Eukaryota; Viridiplantae; Streptophyta; Magnoliopsida; Poales; Poaceae.